Molecule: non-coding RNA, 1983 nt
Organism: Momordica charantia (bitter melon)
Lineage: Eukaryota; Viridiplantae; Streptophyta; Magnoliopsida; Cucurbitales; Cucurbitaceae
Source: RefSeq, a predicted model, not a curated record
UUAAUGGAUGCGGCGAUGAAUGAGAUCAAGACAUCGAAAGGUAAAGAACCUCUAUCUGACGGAUUAAGCGAUGAGAAGUUACUUACAUUUGAAGCUGCAUUAUUUGAUUAUGUUUUUCGUGCAAUGACCAACUCCUCUGGGACUGAUAAUCCGAGAACUGGAAGAUUGYGGACGUGGAUCAGGAUUCACCACAAUCUUACUGGUCUCCAACGGUCACAUUCGUAUUUCUMCAUCUCUCUAUAAAACCCUAACUACAKUGUACAGCUARUAACACAAUCGGCAGAUGUUUCCGGAGAAAAGAACGAUCGCCGCUGUUCAUCCAUUUAAAUUAAACAAAUGGUUYGAGGGCGAUAAAUUUUGCUAGUUCAAGUGUUUGAGAUUGGGUUUUUAAUGGAUGCGGCCAUGAGUGAGAUCAAGAAAUUGAACGGAAGAAAUGAUUUCCGUCUGUGGCGUGAAGAAGUGAGAGCAUUAUCAGAUUCUCAAGGAUUACUCGAGACAUUGAGAGGUAAAGAAGUUCUGUCUGACGGAUUAAGCGAUCGCGAAAAGCAGCCUCUUAUGAGUAASGCACUUAGCGUUACACAAUUGUCAUUAGCGGAUGAAAUUCUGAUUGAAGUUGUUGAUGAGACGUGUCCGGCAAAGCUAUGGAUUUGACUUGAAGAUCGAGUGGAAGUCGAGGAUGACGAUCAAGCUUUACUUCUUUUGCGUUCUCUGCCACCUUCGUAUGGUCGUUUUGUUAAGACUAUAUUGAGUGAAAUAGCCUUGUGUCUGUCGAUAUUGUUAAUGCUCUGCUUUGAGAAGAUGGGGAAAUGAAUUAGAGGGAGCGGUUCAGUUGUACUUGCAAUGCAAGAGGUAGAAGUAGAAACGAAAACAAGAACUAAAGUGAGAGGCAAAGCUGUUGACGAGAGUGUUAUUCUGCUGGGAUUGACAUAUUUUCUGAAGCUCACUCUUUAGGAUUAUCUGAAGUUCGGUUGAUAAAAAUUUUUGAAGUGUGUGAAUUUUUUUAACACCCCUAAGCAAAACAUCAUUCAUUUUUUUUCCUCUCCACAUCACUUCUUACCUCUAACCUUGACAUAUCGAUGGAGCACUUUGGGAUGUUUUUGAGCACUUAGGGUUGCUAUAUGUUCCGGUUAUACAAGUGGUUAUUAAUACGCAGCUGACUGUAUCUUAUAUAAAAAAGUUGUUGGAGUAGAAAUUUCAUCGCCAUGGCCCCAAAGGAGAGAUGUGGCCUCAAAUCUUCUUGCACACAGCAAAGUCUUGAUCAAACAGGCGUCCUUGCAAGACCUGUAAACGGUAUGCUCGGAACCAAACCAAAUUAUUUAUUUUCAUUACCUUCUGUAGGCGGGAUGAUUUUGCAGAAAAAAAGAGGUGCAAUUUGUUCAAGAGCCAGCCAUUGGGGUUGCGAGGGUUCAGAGGGGGUUCCAUCUUGAGCUACUAUUUUUCUUACAGAUUUAAAAUGUCGUUCAACACCAUCCUUCAACGGCAUUAGAAGCGUGAACUUGGAGUUGAAUGAAAUUGAAGACGAAGUUGGAAGCAAUGAACUAUGGAUUCAGUGUCACGAAUCAAAGAGGCAUGCUAGUAAUUUGUGGAAGAAUAAUUUAUAAAUCAAGUUUGAUAAUUCUUAGUAUGGUGGCAUGAUGCGUAUAUGUUUGUCAUCGAUUUAAAGAUCAUGGAAUGGGUUGAAUAUGAACUUUCAUUGGGUGUUUCCCUACUGGGCACAUUUAUGUUUGUUCAAGUAUGAAGAUGGAUUUUUGAUGCCUUUGGGGCGACAUGGAUUCCAACACUUUCUCAUGGAAGUCAAAUUUAUACCCGAGGCAAUUUUUUCCCUUUGCAUUUGAGGAAAAUGCAUUUCAUGUGGAGCCUCUUGAUUCCUCGAGUCUAGAAGAAUUUCAAAAUGUUGAGCAACAACCUGGUACAUGUUGCGACUAUUUCAAGUUAUAUAUUUAGGAAAAAAGAAGAAAAGAAAAUUUGAAGAGAAAAAAAGGA